UACGAGGGGGCUAGCGUUGUUCGGAUUUACUGGGCGUAAAGCGCACGUAGGCGGAUUGUUAAGUCAGGGGUGAAAUCCUGGAGCUCAACUCCAGAACUGCCUUUGAUACUGGCAAUCUAGAGUCCGGAAGAGGUGAGUGGAACUCCUAGUGUAGAGGUGGAAUUCGUAGAUAUUAGGAAGAACACCAGUGGCGAAGGCGGCUCACUGGUCCGGUACUGACGCUGAGGUGCGAAAGCGUGGGGAGCAAACAGG
Molecule: ribosomal RNA, 252 nt
Filed under: uncultured bacterium
Lineage: Bacteria
Description: partial 16S ribosomal RNA
Rfam family: Bacterial small subunit ribosomal RNA
Source: RNAcentral